GACGAACCGUGCGAACGUUGUUCGGGAUCACUGGGCUUAAAGGGCGCGUAGGCGGCUCUGUUGGUCGUGGGUGAAAUCCCCCAGCUUAACUGGGGAAGUGCUUACGAUACCGCGGAGCUCGAGGGAGGAAGGGGCGGCCGGAACUGUCGGUGGAGCGGUGAAAUGCGUUGAUAUCGACAGGAACGCCGGUGGCGAAAGCGGGCCGCUGGCCCUCUUCUGACGCUGAGGCGCGAAAGCCAGGGGAGCGAACGGG
This 253-nucleotide ribosomal RNA is filed under the name uncultured bacterium. RNAcentral's name for it is "partial 16S ribosomal RNA". It matches the Rfam family "Bacterial small subunit ribosomal RNA", at positions 524 to 776 of the family's 1533-position model. The record is from RNAcentral.